RNAcentral lists this ribosomal RNA (712 nucleotides) under Acinetobacter johnsonii. RNAcentral describes it as "bacterial SSU rRNA". It matches the Rfam family "Bacterial small subunit ribosomal RNA", at positions 30 to 736 of the family's 1533-position model. Lineage: Bacteria; Pseudomonadati; Pseudomonadota; Gammaproteobacteria; Moraxellales; Moraxellaceae. The record is from RNAcentral.
GGGACCCUGGGCCGGCGGGCUUACCAUGCAAGUCGAGCGGGGAAGGGUAGCUUGCUACCUGACCUAGCGGCGGACGGGUGAGUAAUGCUUAGGAAUCUGCCUAUUAGUGGGGGACAACAUUCCGAAAGGAAUGCUAAUACCGCAUACGCCCUACGGGGGAAAGCAGGGGAUCUUCGGACCUUGCGCUAAUAGAUGAGCCUAAGUCAGAUUAGCUAGUUGGUGGGGUAAAGGCCUACCAAGGCGACGAUCUGUAGCGGGUCUGAGAGGAUGAUCCGCCACACUGGGACUGAGACACGGCCCAGACUCCUACGGGAGGCAGCAGUGGGGAAUAUUGGACAAUGGGCGAAAGCCUGAUCCAGCCAUGCCGCGUGUGUGAAGAAGGCCUUUUGGUUGUAAAGCACUUUAAGCGAGGAGGAGGCUACCGAGAUUAAUACUCUUGGAUAGUGGACGUUACUCGCAGAAUAAGCACCGGCUAACUCUGUGCCAGCAGCCGCGGUAAUACAGAGGGUGCGAGCGUUAAUCGGAUUUACUGGGCGUAAAGCGUGCGUAGGCGGCUUUUUAAGUCGGAUGUGAAAUCCCUGAGCUUAACUUAGGAAUUGCAUUCGAUACUGGGAAGCUAGAGUAUGGGAGAGGAUGGUAGAAUUCCAGGUGUAGCGGUGAAAUGCGUAGAUAUCUGGAGGAAUACCGAUGGCGAAGGCAGCCAUUUGGCCUA